RNAcentral lists this long non-coding RNA (1277 nucleotides) under Monodelphis domestica (gray short-tailed opossum). RNAcentral describes it as "lncRNA (ENSMODG00000033481.2)". Lineage: Eukaryota; Metazoa; Chordata; Mammalia; Didelphimorphia; Didelphidae. The record is from RNAcentral.
GCUCAGGUCCCUCCACCUCCAGGCCUGGCACUCUAUCCAUCAAGCUUCCUCGCUGCCCUGCCCCACCUCAGCAGAUUUUCUUCCAGUCAACGUCCGUGUCCUUUGGCCCAGCUCCUUCAGGCCCCACCAAGUCUAGCCAGGAUCCAGCUCUUUGCCCACCCCCAAAGCUGCCUCUUCCAAAGCCCUCGAUGCUUCCGAUAUCUAACCUGUGAUGUCCUUGUGUGCAGGAAGGACAAACUGCUGUACUCUCUGGCUGGCAUAGAAGAUCCUGACACCCCCAGGUAUCAGAACUUCAGGAAAGGUAAGUCAGCCCGGCCAGGAAGCCUUUCUCUGUCCUUCUUCAGACAGCAGAGAUGCUGGCGGACAACACAUGCCCUAGAAAUGGCUCCUUCUGCCUUUGGUGCCACGUGGUCCUAUGUGAAGGACCACAAGCAGGCGGUGCUAGAAACAUUUUACAAGCCUUGGGCAUCUCUCAGCCACAGCUAAUAAAUGAAUUAAAUUAGAAUUAUAGCACAAUGAAGAAAUAAGCAAGGAUUUAUUAAAUGCCUAUGUACCAGGAAAUGGGCUACGUGCUGGGGGUACAGAAAGAGGCAAAGGAGACUCCCUUCCCUCAAAGAGCUCACAAUCUAAUGGUUGGGGGAGGGGAGAGGCGGCACCUGGGUAGCUCAGUGGAUUGAGAGCCAGGCCCAGAGACGGGAGGUCCUGGGUUCAAAUAUGGCCUCAGACACUUCCCAGCUGUAUGACCCUGGGCAAGUCACUUAACCCCCAUUGCCCAGCCCUUACCACUCUUCUGCCUUGGCACCAGUGUUGAUUCUGCAACAGAAUGGGAGGGUUAAAAAAAACAAUCUAAUGGUAUGAAUUACUUAAUUAUCCAAUAAGCAGUGGGACCACAGAGAAGUCCUUAACUUCUUUGGGCCUCAGUUUCCUUAUCUGAAAAAUGUAAAAUUUCUAUUAUUGUGAGAGAAUCAUUCUUGUUUGUGGUUUGUGUUUUAUUUUUAAAUUAUCUAUAAAAGCCUUUUGUUUCUUUUGCCACACAUUCUGUGGCAUAUUUGUAAGAUAAAAAAAUGGGGGGAAAGGAGAGAAGUUGGAUUUGGUGAUCACCAAAUUCCUUUCUAACCCUAAACCUAUGAUCCAAUGACUAGAUUCCCCAGCCCAUAGGGAGCCACCAAGGUUUUUUGAGGGGAGUAGCCUGAUUAAGAAGAGGGUUUUCCCAAGUUAAAUGCAUCUAAAUAUGAUACAUAAAUAAAUUAUAUUUAUAUAUUAUAUAUAAUUAAUAA